Molecule: long non-coding RNA, 5126 nt
Organism: Magnolia sinica
Lineage: Eukaryota; Viridiplantae; Streptophyta; Magnoliopsida; Magnoliales; Magnoliaceae
Exons: 2
Source: RefSeq, a predicted model, not a curated record
UUGGCCAUGGCCCUUUUUCCUAAAGCCUGGUCCCCUCUCAUCUCUUCGACUUGCUACUACAAGAGUGAGGGUCUCUAAGAUCUUAACCUAAAAGCAUCCAUCCCAAGGUUGAGUAUCAGCUAAGCUGUUUAAGGUGCCCAACAUUUCCGACUAGUUCCUCAAGCCCAUUGUCGACUAUCUCCAAGUUUUUUCCCAUCACGUCAAACUUUUGUUGCCAUACCUAGCGACGAACUCCACUUGUAUCAGAUGUGCCUCAACUGCGGCCAACACAUCGCGGGACCUCUCCUUGCUAGGUUGGCUAGGUCCAACACCCUCAUGCCCAUGUGCUGGAUUGCUUUUAGUCACCUCCAGUGCCUUAGUGCUCCUCUCAAUCCGCAAGUGUUACGUUUCCAUUCAUAGCCACCAUCUGAAUACCGCUUGUUAUGGCCUAACUCCUAAGUGCUUCCCCCAAGAUUAGAGUCAUUAGACCGUGUGGCAGUCAACUCACAACUCCUUUUUGGACAAGUCGACGCUAACCACCCAAGUGUAAACUAGCUACUUGGAAGAGGAGAGAGUGCGCUAGAGUCGAAGGCAAGACUACCUGUAUUGCAAAGCACAAGAAAACUUACAACUUCUGUGGUUGAUUACAAAUGAGGAGCACUCCUUGUAUAGACUAAUCUACCAGUCUAUCAUCUCUCUUUGCUCAAAAUCCCAGCAGCAAUUGCUACAAAAAUUGAGAAAAUUCAGCGGCAGUUCUACGGGGCGCUGCUUUAGAUAAAAAGAAUUUCCACUUGGAGAAAUGGAAGUCCAAAAGGCAAAGGAAGCACCUUCCUUUGCCUUUUGGACUUCCUUAGGCAUUGGCAAGAUUAGGGAGAAUUGUAGAUGCUUGCUCGGUGAAUGUUGGUGGUGCUUCUGUAUGGAAAGAGAUGUUUUAUGGCGUAAAGUGUCAUCAUGGAGAAAAAUGGUACGGCAAAUAGAUGUUGGGACUUGGGAUGCAGGAACCCCCAUAAGAUCUCAGGUUUCCAAAAUCUGGAAGGAUAUAGUUGGCGUGGGAGACGGUUCGAAAACAUGGGAGAAAGUAUUGCGAAUGGAUCCCCUAAAGGUUUCUUCAAGAGCUCUAGAGGACUGCGAUAGGGAGACCCGCUUUCCCCGUUCCUCUUCCUAGUGGUUGGGGAAGCCCCCAUCCAAAAUGUUGAUCAAAGGUCAAGAUGAAGACAUUAUCUCUGGUGUCUCUGUGGAAGGAAUGGACAGGCCGAUUUCUCAUGUGCAGUUCACGGAUGAUACUCUUAUAUUUUGCAAAGCAGAUCAUGAAAAAGUUAGCAAUUUGCGAACCAUCAUUCUGUGUUUUGAGCAGUCUCGGGUCUUAGAGUGAAUAUUUCUAAAUCCAAGAUGAUUGGGGUGAACAUGAAGGAAGAAGAGGUCAGGUCCUAUGUUGAGUAUUUCGAUUGUUCAGUGGGUUGUCUUCCGACCACUUACAUUGGCCUUCCACUUAGUAUAGGGAAGCCCUCGAAAUCCUUAUGGGAUAAGAUAAUUGCCAGAUUUGAGAAGUACCUAGCUAGAUGGAAGUGUAGAUACUUAUCUCUAGGUGGUCGAAUCACUUUAAUCAAGGCAGCUCUUUCAAACCUCCCUCUAUACUUCAUGUCGAUGUUCAUAUGCCUGUCUUCGACUCUGGCAUCUCUAGAUAAGCUUAGAAGAGAUUUCCUAUGGCAUGGCAAGGAAGAGAAGAAAAAAUUUCACUUGGUUGAGUGGAAAGAGGUGUGCAAGCAUAUUCAAGAAGGCAGGACUGGUAUAAAAACCCUAAAGAGCGUGAAUCGGGCCCUCUUAGGAAAAUGGACCUGGAGACUAGGGACGGAGGACGGGACUUUAUGGAAUACCUUAGUCAAGAAUAAAUAUGGGAGAUCAGAGGAUGGUUGGUGGACAAAGGAUUCCUCAAACUACAGAGCUUCUUCGAUAUGGAAAGGGGUGUUAUCCAUAAAGAAGGUCCUGAAAAGGAUAGGAAUUGCUAUAGGGAAAGGGGAUAAUACUUAAUUUUGGUAUGAUAGUUGGGUGGGCGAUACUACAUUGAAAGAUGAAUUUCCCCACAUUUUCCGUAUUGCCUCUAAUCUGGCCAGUUUGGUAAUUGAUUGCUAUUCCAUCCUUAGGGAGGAUGUGGUGUGGGGUCCAGAAUGUAGAAGAAAUCUCCAUGACUAUGAGGUUGAAGAAUAUAUAGCCCUUCUUAACCGCAUCCAGGACGUCAAGUUGGACUAGUCAAGUGCGGACAGAAUUGUUUGGAAAAGCGACAAAUCUAGAGUAUUCUCAGUCAAAUCUUUCUAUAGGAGUAUGGAGGGGGAUCCCUCGAGAGGAGAAGAGACCCAUACUAAUCAUGUUUGGAAAUAUAAAGCUUCUCCUAAGAUUGUGGCUUUCAGCUGGCUGGUUGGUAAAACGAAAGUCCUUACAGUGGAUAACUUGAGAAAAAGGGGCAUGAUUAUCACUAGUGUUUGUCUAUGCUGCAUGGCGAGCGAAGAAUCGGUGGACCAUCUCUUUGUCCAUUGUCUCUGUAUCACUCGGAUCUGGUCAGAUUUCUUAUCCCGAUUUGAUAUCGGUUGGGCCAUUCCAAAUUCUGCUGGUAAUCUCCGUAAAGCAUGGCAUGGUCCAAGAUUGGGUAUUCAGAGGAACGAGUUAUGGAGAAUGGCCCUUCUCGCUAUCUAGUGGACAGUGUGGGAAGAAAGAAAUGGAAGAUGCUUCAAUGGUAUUUCUAAUCCGUCUGAUUCCAUUGCUUUUAGAGCAAGGAGAUUGUUAGUUGAGUGGGCCUCUAAUGCAGAUAAUUUAAAGGGCUGUAAUCUGCAGUUUUUAGGAGUGUAGCUUGCCCGCUAUAUCAGCGGCUGUCUUAUCUCUGUAAUUUUUCCUUUUUAAUAUAAACCGUGAUCUUUCAAAAAAAAAGAAAGUAUUGCGGGAAGGUUUUAAGUUUUCUGUCAACUACAGUGAUUCCACCUAUUUUUGGGAAGAUGUAUGGUUGGAUCAUUGUUCCCUGGCAGACAGAUUCCCUAAUCUCUAUAGAUUGGUUCGUGAGAGACACAUGUUAGUAAAGGACUGUGACAUAUGUUGGGCGAAACAUAUCACGGAACAGUCCUUGGAAGAAAUUUCAAGAACAAGGAAAUGGAAGGCCUUCAGGCUUCGUUAUGGAUGCUGAACGGGGUUUGACUCUCGCCUUCAUUAGCAUAUGAAAUAAUUUGGAAAUGCAUGAAGUCUGGAAAAAUUUCAGUACAAUCCUUUUCUUUUCAUAUGAUGAAGCUAAAUCCCAGUGUGCUGCCCGCUGUGGAAACCAGCUGCCCCUAUGAGAGUCUUAGAGCCUGUUUGGCGCAUGGGAUUAACUGGGAUUAGGUGGGAUGGAAUUGCUUUAGUGCAAUGAUUACCUGGUGUCAGGUAUUGUCUUGAAAUCCCUCAUUUCAAAGGAUAUUGCACUCCAUGUAUGGAAUGUAAAUGUUGAAAAUGUAAAUCCUAGAGUUUACAGAAAUCACGUUUGGAUUAAACCAUGGAAGUAGCAGAAAUCCAACAUCAGUGGAAGCACACUGUUUGGAAAUACCACACACCACCAAACAUGCUAGUGUGUUGACGUCAACAAGUGUUGUGGAACCCACUGUGAUGUAACUGUUAUAUCCGCACCAUCCAUCCAUUUUGCGAAGUCAUUUUAUGGCACGGGCCCGAAAAAUGAGUCAAAUCCAGAGCUUACAUGAACCACACCACAGAAAGCUGUGGGGACAAUGACGCCCACCGUUGAAACCUUCCUUGAGCCCACUGUGAUGGUUAUUUGCCAUCCAACCUGUUCAUAAGGUCACACAGACCUGGAUGAAGGGAAAACACAAAUAUCAGCUUGAUCUAAAACUUCUGUGGCCCCCAGGAAAUUUUCAAUGGUAGGUUUUCAAUUCCCAUUAAUUUCUGUGGUGUGUUCCACUUGAGCUUUGGAUCUGCUUGAUUUUUGGGCCCAUGCCCUAAAAUGAUCUCGAAAAAUGGAUGGAUGGUGUGGAUAUAGCCCAUACAUCAUGGUGGGACCCACAUAACUUGCUGACAUCAACACCGCCAUUUGCUGGAUUCGAACAGUGCAGGAGUGGGAUUCCUCAUAUCCUUUUCAGCACAAGGCACAUUUUCCAAAGCAUAUAAAGCUAAUACCUGUUGGAGAUAGCAAACAGCGUGUGGGGUUUAAAUGGUGGGAUUUUCAAUUCAAUCCCACCUAAUCCCAGUUAAUCCCAUGCGCUAAACAGGCCCUUAGUCUUAUGAACAGAUGUGUUAUGUGUAAAGUUGAUGCAGACCAAACGAGAAUGCAUACCACACAGAACAGUUAAGAAUCUUCUGCUCACCAUGGUAUUAAAAAACGGUUACGUAAUGGCCGUCACUUUAUGGUAAGGGUGAGACCUGUUACCUGAUAUGGGGUUGUGACGCUGUUCUAAGAAAAUGGCCUGUAACAGGCCUGUAAUGGUCGAUACAUGGCUGAUACAUUUCCUUUUAAAAAAUUGACUGUUACAGGGCUGUAACAGCCAAUAUAGGGGCCAUAAUGGCUGUUAUGGCCUGUAUGGUAAUGGCCAUAAGGCUGCUUGUUACGGCGACUGUUUCCAUUAUUGAAUGCCUUGGUGCUCGCUUCUUCAUUGUCCAACUGCAGAAUUGGUAUGGAAUUUCUUUCUUAGGGAGUUUAAGACUCCCUGGGUCACAAGCACAUCCCUGGUUCAUCUUUCAAAAAAAAAAAAAGAGUGCGUCCCUGGCUGAGGAUUUAUUAGUUGGUGCAGCAGUCCAUUCUCCAGCAUGCGAAAGAUUCUGUGGAAUUUGGUGCUGUUUUUGAUCUGUUGGGAGAUUUAGAAAGGAACAAUAAGAUUUUAAGGAUAUCCACAUUUCCACAGAAACUAUGAUUGAGAAAAUUAAAGGAUUGGUCGUGGAUCAGGCAGUGUCAGUGCCGAAAGCGAGGGGCUUGCCUAGGUUUGGGAUAGAGUCUGAUUUGUGUAGUCUUGUGGGAUAGUUUCGUGUUUCUUCCCCUCAGCUAAAAAUUUCACUUAACAGUGGUCUCGGGCCUUUUAUUUGAGCCUGUUUUGUCCUUUCUUCCUGUUGCUGUAUUUUCCUUCUUCAGAUCAUCAGUUUAAUGAAUUAUUCGUCAUUUGCUCAAAAAAACAAAAAAACAAAAA